GCUGGGCAUGGUGGCUCAUGCCUGUAAUCCCAGCAUUUUGGGAGGCUGAGGUGGGCGGAUCACCUGAGGUCAGGAGUUUGAGACCAGCCUGGCCAACAUGGUGAAACUCCAUCUCUA
RNAcentral lists this non-coding RNA (117 nucleotides) under Pan paniscus (pygmy chimpanzee). Lineage: Eukaryota; Metazoa; Chordata; Mammalia; Primates; Hominidae. The record is from Rfam by way of RNAcentral. RNAcentral also lists the same sequence under 1 other name.